GCUCCGUCAGGCGCGCGACGAGGCGGGCGAAGCGCUGGGGGUCGCGGGGGUGGUGGAUCUUCGAGUGUUUGUAGAGCAGCCCCAGCAGCGGCUCCUGCAGCUCCUCCACCCGCCGCUUGUUCUUCAGCAGCGGGCGGUCUGCGGGGCCGAGGCGGGAGAGUGCGGUUAGCGGGCGGGGCCGCGAGCCGGGCUACCGCCGCCCCUGAGGGCUCGAUGGAGGCGGGCAGCGCCUGAGGAUGAAUGUCCCCAGCAUUGGUGGUGUCUGCAGAUGAAGAUGCUACAGGUGCUACAGACUCCAAAGGAAAUAAUCAGAGCUGGUGACAUCGGCCUGGGCAGAACACCUGCUUGUGCCACCUCAUGUCCACCUGAGUGAAGGCUGUGAGCCUCUGCGCAGUCCGACCUGCGCAGAACGUCUGCCUCUAUGCAGAGAAAUAAAAUGUUUUGGAGGCAUGAAAUACGCCGGCAAAUCCAUGCCAAAAAUUUUGUGUUCUGAGAGGUACUUGCAAUUUGUGAAGGAACUCAUUAAAAAAACUGCAAGCUUUCUGUUCACCCUCUCUUCUGGAUUAUUUAUUAAUCUUCAAAAGGCGCAGUGCUUCUGGCGCUGUUAGGAUUUUCUGCCUGGCAUGGAGGACCCUCAGCCCUGGGUGUGAAACGGCACAAAGCCUCCUGACUAACGGCUUGGCAGAUGCCACUCAGUCUGUCACAGCUGUUGCCAUUUUCUACUGGUCAAUUCCUCUGUGCAUUAUUAUCCAUCAUUUACUCCACUGCCAGUUUCUGGCUCUGUUGCUACACACUAGAAGUUGUGGUGACAAGCAUUCCCAGCAUUUGAAUCAAGGAGCUUUGUCCUACUGGGAUCCGAUCUGUGUCCUGGCGCCGCAGUAGCUUAUUCUACUGUCCUUUGGAAGUUGAACAAAUGGUUCUGUGUCAGAAGAUCUGCUGGAGAGGGGUGAGCCACAUCCUUGAGUGAGAACCCAAGACUAAGCGCUGUGUGGUGUAAUGUCGUGGGCUCCCGUCGUCGUCUUAUUCUAUGAUUUGAUUUCAAGCAGCCAGAAUCCCGCAGAGGGACUGCACCCGUCCUGAAAUGAGAGUCUGAUUUAGCAGUGCUGGCCCUCGUCUCACUUGUCUCUGCUGGGCACGAAAGGCUAGGAUGUUACCUCUGAAGGCAGGGGAAAGUGAGGGUUAAAUCAUAACUAUAAACACAAAGGACAAAACAAGCCAGAGAUUCAAAUGUACAAUCCAGGUGCAGCUUCUGCUGAGAUGUGAUGAUCCUUCAUGCUGCACAAGCAGGUCAUUCCUUUAGCCGACUUCCCAGUAGAUGUGAAUUGGAAUUUCCAGUGCUGCAUUUCUAAAUGGCUCAUGGAGUGCCUCCCCGCUGAAAGCUGAGUGGAACCUUGAGAGAUUGCAUGUUUGAUUUCACAGAACUUCCUUAUAUUGAAUAAGGUGAAAAACGGGAAGAUACUGGACUGGUACACGUAUAUCAUUCCACGUAGCUGGAUCAGGCCUACUCCGGUGUGGCUGCUCAAAGGCUCUGCAAAAAUUGAGUUUAAAGGCAGCUAUGGAGCUGGGAGCGUGAUAAGAGCGAAGCAGCAGUAGGUGCUGAGCUGCAGAGGUGGGGUCACUUGAGGGUGUAAUAGUGGGGACGGGGGAAACAAGCGUUGCUACGACUUUGGGAUGUCACGUUGGCCUUAGCACAGGGCAGUCUUCAGCCAACUUGAUCCAUAACCACAAUGGUAAACACAGUAAUAUUUGUCAGUUUUCCAAGUGUUAAUGAAUCACCCAUUAUGAAAAAGGAAUUCUGACAAAAAGUUGUCUUAGUUUUUCAGUAUUCUCUAAUAAGAAGAAAAAUAAGGACCAGAAGGUGAAACAUGCUGUAAAGCACGGUCUAGUCCUUUGGUUCCACACAGGCUACGAGAAAGCAGCAUUACAUUUCCCAAAUUUGCAAAAUGUAUCUCAUACUUUACUAAUUGAUCUGAUUCUGAUGAACUACUCCAAGUGCAGCUGUUUAUUUUCCUUUGGACUGUAUGAAUGUUUUGAAGUUGUUGCUUAUAUAAAAUAAUCUUAUUCAGCACUUCUGCCCUGGGCUUGA
Chroicocephalus ridibundus (black-headed gull) is the source of this 2086-nucleotide long non-coding RNA. RefSeq lists it as uncharacterized. NCBI's taxonomy places the organism in Eukaryota, Metazoa, Chordata, Aves, Charadriiformes, Laridae. The transcript is spliced from 6 exons. The record is from RefSeq and is a predicted model, not a curated record.